GUUUGUUCAACUCGUUUCGUGAAACAGGCCUCUGAUGUCCCAAUUUAUCUUGAAUGUAAUGAAAUGCUGCAAUUAUACACACAUCACUAAUACAGACGUCAACUGUACAUUGACAACAGCGUAUGGGACGACAGGAGACCUGGACGCGAUUGUCAGCUCCCUUUACCUUCAGAGAAACCUACUCCCCUUUUCGCCAGGUGAUACAGUACUAGAAAAGCCGCCUUUGGACCUCCCACAACGGUGAUAGCAGUCACUCGCACGGCCGUACUCAUAUCAUUAUAUGUCUAGUAUCUGGGCAGCGUCCUUUUCUCCCUCCUUCCUUCCAGGACACAGGCCUGGACCUAAACACAAGCUAUCAAAUAGCUCACCUUUCAGCAGAUCUGUCUCUGCUAGGUGAAGCCCUCGCUGCUGACCCUUACGGUACCGGAUAACACCUGCCACGGUUUCCAUGGAUGUUUCUACUCAUACAGAGACACCCUCUGUUUUAUUUCCUGGGAAUCCUUCUGAUGAAGACAUGGCUAUCUCUGGGGUUGACCUUGGCUUUAGACCUGCUUCCGGUUCUCUCAGCCCCACACCAUACUCACCCAGCAGCUCAGAGUAUUCUCACUGCUCUCCGUAUCCUACAUUCCUGUAUCCUGCUACGAAUUAUUCUCCCACGAGCCCUGUGACCUGACCUAUGUUAUCCUCCAUCUGCAAUAAACCCCCGUAUUUUCCCA
Molecule: long non-coding RNA, 716 nt
Organism: Ictalurus furcatus (blue catfish)
Lineage: Eukaryota; Metazoa; Chordata; Actinopteri; Siluriformes; Ictaluridae
Exons: 3
Source: RefSeq, a predicted model, not a curated record